UCGCGGGUGGAAGUCCCGUCCGGGUAGACACCGGAGUGCCCGGUAGCAGGUCCCGGUUCGUCGUGGAGACGCGGCGGGCUGAGCGGGAUGUCAAGAGCCUCUUUGGAGGAAGCGAGCACGCGGGCCGUAGCGUGA
This 135-nucleotide non-coding RNA is filed under the name Streptomyces sp. MnatMP-M17. The record is from RNAcentral. Lineage: Bacteria; Bacillati; Actinomycetota; Actinomycetes; Kitasatosporales; Streptomycetaceae.